AGCCCACUGCGGGUCCCUCACCCAUUGCAGAAGUGUUGCAAAGGGAGGAAACAGGAGGCCCUGCAGGUCUAAUAGGAUGUUUUUGGGAGUGAAUGGUUACAGCACCCUCCUCCAGACCCCUCUAUGGGGGGGGAAGAAUGUGUUAGAGGCUUUUAGUGAAGGGCCAAGGUGAACCUAGUGGGCUCCUGCCUGGACCAAGCCCUGUCAGAGAAGCCCUGGCUAAGCCCCACUCUCUUUCCUGUGCAGAAUCAAGCUGCCUGAUUGCUCAAACCCCUUCCCUCAUUCAGUUGUAACAACAAAGAACACAGGGAAUCAUUCCUGCUGAGCUGGGCCUGGGCCACUCUAAGCUGAGUUGACCACCCCAUUACCCCAUCUCUCCCACCUCCCCACCCAGUCCUGAGGCUUUGCUUGCUUACUCCUGUGUGGGGUAGUUUUGUAAAGGGCUAAGAUCUAAGCAAGCUGGGGGAAACUCCUGGAAAACCAGCCUGCAUGCAGACAUCUGAGCAAGCACACAUAUGCAGAAGCAGGACACAUGCUCACACACAUGCAGCAAGGCCAUGCACACAUAGAUAUGUGCUGCCAGGGAUAGAGGCAUACACACACAGGCAUGCACUGGUGCUGGAACAUGCACACGUGUGUACAAAGUAACAUGCACAUCAGGCUGAUCCCAUGCAGAGGUACACUUACACACAGGACCACCCGCGCAUCACAGCUGCAUGAAUGCAUCCAGCUUGCCAGCCUGGUGGUGCAGCUCACCCACACAUACAUGUGCAUAGUCUGGCACACGAAGGAAGGGCAGAAUGGCAGAGCUCACUCAUGCACACCCAUGCACACACAUCAGUGGCCUUGAGAAGGUUCACAUUUGCAAACAACACACAGGAGAUGCCCUGUUUCCCAAACAUUGCCUAAGGAGGUGGAUGUACAUUUGUGUACGUGUUGAACUCGUGGCUCACACAGAUGUGCAUGCGAACUAUGAAAGACACAAACCCUGAGGUGCAGAGAGCCCUUGCCUCCCAGUCGAAACCCCCAUUUCCUUCUCCAUCACUCUGUGCACCCCUAAACCUCCAGAGCCCUGGGCCAUCUACCAGGGGGCCACCCUCAGGCCCCCAAACGUGGCUACAGCUGUCUGCGCCUGUGAACCGCCUGGACACACGGUCCAAGAGAGAGCAGAGACAGACCAGCCUUAGACCCACACAACCCUGCCCAGGGCUGGACUGCAGGGCUUCAGGGGGCUCAGUCGAAGCAGGUGGUCACCUCACGAAGAUGCAGACACAAAGCGGGGGUGGACAGUCCCUGAGGUGGCCGUAUCCAUGACUGCCGGGCCGCCCACGCACACACGCUCGCGCGAGGUGACCAGCGCGGAGACGUCUUUGUUCCGGGCCCAGGGUCAGGGGCGGGGAGGGGUCCGAAGCUUUGUUCGAGGCUGGACCCCCCACCCGGUGCCCAGUGGCUGCGUCGCGACUGCAACGCCGAGCACCCGCCCCGCGCGGCACAAAGGCGGCCGGCCCCGCCCGCGCCCACUGUGG
Long non-coding RNA from Octodon degus (degu), 1526 nucleotides. RefSeq lists it as uncharacterized. The record is from RefSeq and is a predicted model, not a curated record. The transcript is spliced from 3 exons. NCBI's taxonomy places the organism in Eukaryota, Metazoa, Chordata, Mammalia, Rodentia, Octodontidae.